AGCUCCAGUAGCGUAUAUUAAUGUUGCUGCAGUUAAAAAGCUCGUAGUUGGAUUUCUGAUAUGAUCCGUCUGGUCCCUGGCUAACGCCUUGAGUACUGUGAUGUAUCUAUCAUCCUUCUAGUUAGGCCCACGGCGUUCUAACGAACCUGUGGUGUUUCCGACCUAGAUCAUUUACUUUGAAAAAAUUAGAGUGUUCAAAGCAGGCUUACGCUUAUGAAUAUAUUAGCAUGGAAUAAUAAUAUAGGACUUUGGUCUCUAUUUUGUUGGUUUCUAGAGCUGAAGUAAUGAUUGAUAGGGAUAGUUGGGGGUGCUAGUAUUUAAUGGCCAGAGGUGAAAUUCUUGGAUUCAUUAAAGACUAACUUAUGCGAAAGCAUUCACCAAGGAUGUCUUCUUUAAUCAA
RNAcentral lists this ribosomal RNA (400 nucleotides) under phytoplankton environmental sample. RNAcentral describes it as "partial small subunit ribosomal RNA". It matches the Rfam family "Eukaryotic small subunit ribosomal RNA", at positions 587 to 980 of the family's 1831-position model. The record is from RNAcentral.